RNAcentral lists this transfer RNA (84 nucleotides) under Mustela putorius furo (domestic ferret). It matches the Rfam family "tRNA". Rfam says of the family: Transfer RNA (tRNA) molecules are approximately 80 nucleotides in length. Their secondary structure includes four short double-helical elements and three loops (D, anti-codon, and T loops). The record is from Rfam by way of RNAcentral. Lineage: Eukaryota; Metazoa; Chordata; Mammalia; Carnivora; Mustelidae.
GCCUGGGUGGCUCAGCCGGUUAAGCGUCUGCCUUUGGCUCAGAACAUGAUCCCAAGGUCCUGGGACUGAGCCCCAGCUCAGGCU